This 117-nucleotide ribosomal RNA is filed under the name SAR202 cluster bacterium. The record is from RNAcentral. Lineage: Bacteria; Bacillati; Chloroflexota; Dehalococcoidia.
UCGGGUGACUAGAGCGAGGUGGAACCACCCGUUCCCAUUCCGAACACGGAAGUGAAACGCCUCAGCGCCAACGAUACUGCCCUCGGGAGGGGGUGGGAAAAUCGGCCGUUGCCCGGG